This 232-nucleotide long non-coding RNA is filed under the name Carica papaya (papaya). Its description in RNAcentral is "long non-coding RNA (CPAP_LNC012141)". The record is from RNAcentral. Lineage: Eukaryota; Viridiplantae; Streptophyta; Magnoliopsida; Brassicales; Caricaceae.
AUAGAGACAAUAACUCAAAUAACAUUAUGAUCUAGUAUUCAAAUGAGCAAAAACAACAACUUUUUCUUUUUAUUUUGCUUACUAGUAUCCCUAGAGUUCAUAGGGGUUCACAUUCCGCGUGAACCUAAUAUCUAAACUUAUCAACUAACCGGUCAUUCUCAUACUCCGUCCGGUAUGAGCGCCAAAAAUACUAUCCAUCGAUACCCCUUCUGGUAUGAGGAUAAAUCGGGUC